This 125-nucleotide ribosomal RNA is filed under the name Pseudopediastrum integrum. Lineage: Eukaryota; Viridiplantae; Chlorophyta; Chlorophyceae; Sphaeropleales; Hydrodictyaceae. The record is from RNAcentral.
AAAUUCUGGUGCUCUAUGCUAAAGUGGAACCACGCCAAUCCAUCCCGAACUUGGCUGUGAAACUCUUUAGAAGUUGAUGGACUUGUUGGAAGUCUGGCAGGAAAACUCAACUAGCGCCAGGAUGA